This 506-nucleotide ribosomal RNA is filed under the name uncultured bacterium. Its description in RNAcentral is "bacterial SSU rRNA". It matches the Rfam family "Bacterial small subunit ribosomal RNA", at positions 1 to 516 of the family's 1533-position model. The record is from RNAcentral.
GUAGAGUUAGAUCCUGGCUCAGGAUGAACGCUGGCGGCGUGCCUAAUACAUGCAAGUCGAACGAAGGUACUUGUACCUUAGUGGCGAACGGGUGAGUAACACGUAGGUAAUCUGCCCUCAAGACGAGGAUAACUGUUGGAAACGACAGCUAAUACUGGAUAGGUAUAUAGGAGGCAUCUCUUUUAUAUUAAAGGACCACUGGUAUGCUUGGGGAUGAACCUGCGGCGCAUUAGUUAGUUGGUGAGGUAACGGCUCACCAAGACGAUGAUGCGUAGCCGGACUGAGAGGUUGAACGGCCACAUUGGGACUGAGACACGGCCCAAACUCCUACGGGGGGCAGCAGUAGGGAAUUUUCGGCAAUGGAGGAAACUCUGACCGAGCAACGCCGCGUGAAUGAAGACAUAUUUCGGUAUGUAAAGUUCUUUUAUUAGGGAAGAAUAGCCCAUGGAAAAAUGGGUGUGACGGUACCUAAUGAAUAAGCCCCGGCUAACUAUGUGCCAGCAGCC